This 254-nucleotide ribosomal RNA is filed under the name uncultured bacterium. Its description in RNAcentral is "partial 16S ribosomal RNA". It matches the Rfam family "Bacterial small subunit ribosomal RNA", at positions 524 to 776 of the family's 1533-position model. The record is from RNAcentral.
UACGGGGGGAGCAAGCGUUGUUCGGAUUUACUGGGCGUAAAGGGCGCGUAGGCGGCCACCGCAAGUCGACUGUGAAAUCUCCGGGCUUAACUUGGGCAUUGCAUUCGAUACUGGCAAGCUAGAGUAUGGGAGAGGAAGGUAGAAUUCCAGGUGUAGCGGUGAAAUGCGUAGAGAUCUGGAGGAAUACCGAUGGCGAAGGCAGCCUUCUGGCCUAAUACUGACGCUGAGGUGCGAAAGCAUGGGGAGCAAACAGG